Salvia splendens (bonfire salvia) is the source of this 1222-nucleotide long non-coding RNA. RefSeq lists it as uncharacterized. NCBI's taxonomy places the organism in Eukaryota, Viridiplantae, Streptophyta, Magnoliopsida, Lamiales, Lamiaceae. The record is from RefSeq and is a predicted model, not a curated record. The transcript is spliced from 3 exons.
GGUUCCUUUUUCUCUCGGAUCAUAUGAAUCCUCUUUAUACUUUUCUACAACCUCCUUGGUGGAACCGCCGCCGAUGUCGCCCGCGGAGGCUCACGCUGCCGCAGCUGUCUCUCGGCCUAGAAGCAGUGACGCUGCUGUCACAGUGUAGUCGGUGUAAUCGACGCCGGGUCAGCCUCCUCACUCCAUACACCUACGCCUGCCGUCCCUUCAUCGUUGACACAGCAGCUGUCUCGCGGCAGCUUCUGGGGCUUCGUCGUCCAUCGAUCUCGCUCAAGCUAAGUCCCCUACUCGUUCAUUGUUUGGUGUAGUACUUCCUUAUCUUUAAGUUAUGCUAUUUUUAGGAAUUUGGGGUGUGGAUUCAGUAGAAAAUAGUUCGACAAUUUGAGCUUGAUUGGAGUGAUUCUCCUAUACGCCUAAAUUCCAGUUGUGAUUUAACAUGCUAUCUAUAAGCUUUAGGCAGUGGCUUGUGAGGAUAAUGUCAUAUGGGGUUGCUACUGUCAUUGUUGAGAUUCUACCUAUGUGAUGGUUGUUUCUUGCUAUUGAUAUGAGGAGUCUAUUGAAAUCCUAAGUUCUCAGCUUUCUAUUGGUUUGUUCUACAUGAUGCAGGUGUGGUGUUAUGGGGAUUACCUCUUGUGACUGUGAUGGAAUGUGGCUGCCUAGUUGUUGCUCACAACUGCUCCGCUUUCUUCUCUAUGCGGCUGGUAUAUGCAGUGUGUGUGGUAAAGGGGACUUGAUGCAUAUGGAAGGGUUUUCUUAUAGGCCAAGUGUGUGCCUAUGAGGGAAUUAUAUGGGCUGAUUCCUUUGUUUCUUAUGCACAGUACAUCCUUUGUCCUUGAUCCCCUUGCAGCCUUUCGUUUAAGGCAUUUUGGUGCACAAUGACGGUGUAAGGCGGUUAACUGCAGCUUUGCAGGGUUGCUGCAGCUGCUGGGACAGAUGUUGCAGACUGACCUUGCCAUUUUUGGGCAAGGCUCAUUUUCUUUAUCGAAAGGAACUAUGAACUGAUCACAUCCGGCUGCCAACUUGCUGAUCCGGGCGCAACGGGCCGUCGUAAAUCGGGCUGAAAACUGGGCCUAAGGAAGGGGUUGAAGCUUAGCUUUUCUAAAUUGUAAUAGAGUAGCGCUUUUCCAAGCUUUCUUUCUUUCAAACAUGUACGAAACAUUUAUAAAAGUUAGAAUGUAUGCCUUUCGAGCACCCUUAGUUCGAAAUAAAACAAAUAUCGUCG